This 602-nucleotide long non-coding RNA is filed under the name Triticum aestivum (bread wheat). RNAcentral describes it as "long non-coding RNA (TAES_LNC014618)". The record is from RNAcentral. Lineage: Eukaryota; Viridiplantae; Streptophyta; Magnoliopsida; Poales; Poaceae.
UCGUAUGUCGAAGGCGGGCCUACAGCAGCAGAUGAACUCCCAGCUGAUUCAAAUGCAGCAGCUGCAAAUACAGCAGCAGCAACAGCAGCAGUCAUCACAGACGCAGCAGGCUCAGCAGCAGCAGCAGCAGCAGCAGUCGCAGCAAUCAGCAUAGACCAAGUCACAAAGAACCUGGAUCUCUAUAGCAGAGGAGGAGAAAUUCGAAUCUAGCCGAGCAUGAUGAGUUGAAGAUGGUGAUCGUAUGUGCGAGCGGAGAGAAAAUAAUAUCUUUUGAUUAUAUCAGACAGGUUGUAGGAUGGAUAGCAGUGGUUGGGCAACGGAUGCUGCCCGAGUUCUUUUGUUUAAGGUGGUAUAAUACUCAGCGUGGAGCAUGGUCGUCGUCGUACCGUAUUGUCUGUCGUAUAUUCGUGCUGUACAUGAGUACCUUCCUUGUGAGUCACUGUGGUAGUCUUCUCAUUAAAGAUUCUUUCCGACGAGUUGUUUCUGCGAGUCUAUGAGGUUAUUAUAUUACAAAAUCUACAACAGUACCUGUGCCGUGAACGUGUAAUGGAGUAUAUGGCGUACUUCGUCAGCGUUCGGGCUAUGCUUGUGUUCACGUUUUG